This is an RNA transcript of Diospyros lotus (date-plum), 1449 nucleotides long. It is a transcript of the gene named prohibitin-3, mitochondrial, with no coding region annotated. Lineage: Eukaryota; Viridiplantae; Streptophyta; Magnoliopsida; Ericales; Ebenaceae. The transcript is spliced from 2 exons. The record is from RefSeq and is a predicted model, not a curated record.
UUUUAGGGGUUAGGGUUUUACAGAAGCCAUAACUUGGUUAACACUGCAGAGUUCAAUCUCAAGCUUCGGCUCUCUCUGCAAAAUUCUUUCAUAGAUGGGCAGCAAUCAAGCGGCAGUGUCGUUCCUCAACAACUUAGCCCCGGCGGCGUUGGGCUUCGGCUUGGGCGUCACCGUUCUCAACUCCUCGCUCUACACCGUUGACGGCGGCCAACGCGCCGUCCUCUUUGACAGGUUCCGGGGAGUCAUCGACCAGACAGUCGGCGAAGGAACGCAUUUCCUAAUCCCCUGGCUCCAAAAGCCCUUCAUCUUCGACAUCCGAACCCGUCCCCACACCUUCUCUUCCGUCUCCGGCACGAAGGAUCUCCAAAUGGUCAAUCUCACUCUCCGUGUCCUCUCUCGCCCCGAAGUCUCUCAGCUCCCGAGAAUUUUCCAAACCCUAGGCCUGGAGUACGACGAGAAGGUCCUUCCGUCCAUCGGAAAUGAAGUCCUCAAGGCCGUCGUCGCUCAGUUCAAUGCCGAUCAGCUGCUCACUGAGCGUCCUAACGUCUCAGCCUUGGUCCGCGAGAGCCUGAUUCGUCGCGCCAAGGACUUUAACAUCGUCCUCGACGACGUCGCCAUCACGCACUUGUCGUACGGGGCGGAGUUCUCCAAGGCGGUAGAGCAGAAGCAGGUGGCGCAGCAGGAGGCCGAGCGGUCUAAGUUCAUUGUGGCCAAGGCCGAGCAAGAGAGGCGAGCGGCCAUCAUUAGGGCGGAGGGAGAGAGCGAGUCUGCCAAGUUGAUUUCGGAUGCAACUGCUGCUGCUGGAAUGGGAUUGAUCGAGCUCAGGAGGAUUGAAGCUUCUAGGGAGAUAGCGGCAACAUUGGCAAAGACUCCCAAUGUGGCUUACCUGCCUAGUGGGAACAACAUGUUGUUGGGGCUCAAUCCUUCCAUGGUCGGCCGCUGAAUCGGUGAUUUUCACUGACGCGUAUUGUUUUCAGUUAUUAUGUUGCAAUUCGGCUAAUCGGCGCAUUGUCCAGCUAAUUUGUCUGUCAACCUUUUACCUUCUGCAAGUUUUUGUCCUCGUACAAAUAGGCCUGCCCAAAUCUGCACAACUUUCCUAGAUUUCAAAUGCUCUUGGAAUAAUUUCUUUGUUGUUGUUACCCCCAUUUGAGUAUUGCUUCUGCAAUGUCUUACUUUGGUUGGACAUCUCUGCUUUUUUAGAAUGAUGGAAUAGAUUACUGCGGGUGUCUCUGGAGCUCAUUUAUGCGCUGUUGUCUUGUCUUUGCUUCCAAGUUGCCAUGGGUUUUUAUAUACAUUAGUAACUGUUUGAAAUAUGUUAGUUGUAGAUGCAUUUACAUUCUGCACUUUGGUUUCAAAACUCUUGGUAACUCGAGCUACAACUCGGUUAUUACACACAGGUUUGGCUCUUCAAUCAACUACUUCCCGGAAUUCAGAGAGAGAGACAGUUUG